Molecule: long non-coding RNA, 1175 nt
Organism: Olea europaea var. sylvestris
Lineage: Eukaryota; Viridiplantae; Streptophyta; Magnoliopsida; Lamiales; Oleaceae
Exons: 4
Source: RefSeq, a predicted model, not a curated record
UUCGCCCUUUUUUCCCUUUUAGCAGCAAUCUACUUCACAUCCAUUUUCCCCUUUUGGCAAAAUCUAUUUCACAUCAAUUUAUCCCUCUUAUGCUAAGUCAAAGUGGAGAAUCUACACAUCCGUAGAUAAAGGUAAAAUUUUUUUAGUUCAAUUUGUUUAAUGGGUAAUAUGAACUAUGAAAAUGAUGAUUUGUGGGGUUGAAUUAUUGAAGGGGUUCUGCCUCUAGAAUAAAUUCAUCUACAGAUAAAGGAUUAUUUUUCAGUUUUGUCAUAUUCAGUGGUGGUGGCGAUUAGUUCGUCGUUGGAGGUUUGAUGUGGUGGUGGUGGUGAUUAGUAGGUCGUUGGAGGUUUGAUCUGGUGGUGUUCGUGGGGCUAUGGCUGAUCUAUCGACAUUGGGAAGAUAUUUUUCUUAUUUGAUUAUGAGGAUAGAAGCUUCGUUUCACUCUCAAAGGGCCCUCACGACAAUACGCGUAGACUCACGCGCAAAAAGAGGAAAAUCUACUAAGAAAUGAAAUCAUUGACUCUAAUUUAUCGGAUUCAGCUCAGUCACCAUUCAACUUACUUCUCAAGAGUAACUACAGUUUCUGCAAAAGCUAAAAGAGCUAAAAAUGUCAAGUUCUGUGAACGAAGAUCAAGAACAGAGAAAAAAUACUAGCAUGGAAGACCCAAAGUCAAUGACAAUUGAGUUUCUUCGGGCAAGAUUGUUAUCUGAGAGAUCUGUCUCAAAAUCAGCAAGACAGAGAGCUGAUGAACUGGCCAAGAGGGUGAGUUACAAUAUUUGAUCUACUCCUCUCCGUCUCACAUUGUUUAUCAUGUAAUAUGUAUUGACUUUUUUGGCCCGUUGGACCAUGGUUUCAAUUAAAAUUGGACUUAAUUUAACUUAGAUUCGGAAGUAACGUUGGAAUCUGUAAACUACAUUCAAAUUUCUAGCUUCAUUUCCUGAAACAAAGUAAAUAAUGAUUGUUCUGCUUCAAGAAUUGGUUAAAUUGACUGAAAAAGUGAACCUGUGACAAACAAUGUGGAACAAAGGGUGUAUAUGGAAGUGGGAAGGCAUGUACUGGCCUCUUUCUGCUCUCUUCUCCACCUUCCCUGUUCAUAAAGUUGUUCAUAAAUUUCAGCUGGUUUAACUGUCCUCAAAUUAUAAAAUCUCACCCCCCCCCCCCCCCCCCCCCCCCC